Molecule: ribosomal RNA, 81 nt
Filed under: Enterococcus cecorum
Lineage: Bacteria; Bacillati; Bacillota; Bacilli; Lactobacillales; Enterococcaceae
Source: RNAcentral
UCCCAUGCCGAACACAGAAGUUAAGCUUCUUAGCGCCGAUAGUAGUUGGGGGUUUCCCCCUGUGAGGGUAGGACGUCGCCA